UACGUAGGGUGCAAGCGUUGUCCGGAAUUAUUGGGCGUAAAGAGCUCGUAGGCGGUUUGUUGCGUCGGCUGUGAAAUCCCGAGGCUCAACCUCGGGUCUGCAGUCGAUACGAGCAAACUAGAGUGUUGCAGGGGAGACUGGAAUUCCUGGUGUAGCGGUGGAAUGCGCAGAUAUCAGGAGGAACACCGAUGGGCGAAGGCAGGUCACUGGGCCG
RNAcentral lists this ribosomal RNA (214 nucleotides) under uncultured bacterium. RNAcentral describes it as "partial 16S ribosomal RNA". It matches the Rfam family "Bacterial small subunit ribosomal RNA", at positions 524 to 736 of the family's 1533-position model. The record is from RNAcentral.